UUAUGCCGUCGGUGCCCCGUAAAAGGGGAUAAUAGGGAACCCGGUGCGAAUCCGGGACAGCCCCCGCUACUGUCAGUGACUUGAGGCUUCAUAUGUCAUUGGGAUAUCUCCGGAUACCCCGAGAAGGCGGAGCUUCUUAUAUGCACGAGCCAGGAGACCUGCCGAUGAGUUUUA
RNAcentral lists this non-coding RNA (174 nucleotides) under uncultured Saccharofermentans sp. The record is from RNAcentral. Lineage: Bacteria; Bacillati; Bacillota; Clostridia; Eubacteriales; Oscillospiraceae.